RNAcentral lists this non-coding RNA (24 nucleotides) under Cricetulus griseus (Chinese hamster). The record is from RNAcentral. Lineage: Eukaryota; Metazoa; Chordata; Mammalia; Rodentia; Cricetidae.
CUUUAGGGGGUUGGACUGGUAAAU